Long non-coding RNA from Mytilus californianus (California mussel), 599 nucleotides. RefSeq lists it as uncharacterized. NCBI's taxonomy places the organism in Eukaryota, Metazoa, Mollusca, Bivalvia, Mytilida, Mytilidae. The record is from RefSeq and is a predicted model, not a curated record. The transcript has 4 exons.
UAUUCAAGAAACGAAGCCGAAGGGGUAAUUCUACAAAAUGUCAACCCACUAGAUACAAGAGGUCCACAAAUUGAACUGCUGUUGACUAACCUUGCUUAUGAAGAGGGUUUUGUUUUAGACCCAAACCUUGCAUUUAAAAAAGAGAUUGUAAAAGAGCAUUUAAAACGUAUUGAUCCAAAUAGUUUCAUAGUAGUUAUGUUUUUAUUGCAACCAAGAAGUAAAGGUCAUUUGCGGCUUUCGAGCAAAUCGCCGUUUACUUAUCCUUUAAUAGAUCCACGAUAUCUUUCUCACCCAGAGGAUAUUGAAGACUUUGUUAGAGGCAUUCGAUUGAUGCGUUCGUUAGAAAAAACUGAAGCAUGGAAAUCUAUCAAUGCCACUUUGGUAAGGCAAGAUGUACUCGGACAUUGUAGUGAAGAAAUCUAUGAUUCUGAUAAUUACUGGAGGUGUAUUGGACGACAUUUCCUAAGAACUGGAUAUCACUUUAUAGGUACAUGUAGGAUGGGAUCAGUUGAUGACCCGUCAGUUGUAGUAGAUUCAAGAUUGAGGGUUAUUGGUAUCGAUAAACUAAGAGUGGUUGAUGCAUCCGUUAUGAGAUAUCU